RNAcentral lists this ribosomal RNA (445 nucleotides) under uncultured bacterium. RNAcentral describes it as "bacterial SSU rRNA". It matches the Rfam family "Bacterial small subunit ribosomal RNA", at positions 354 to 796 of the family's 1533-position model. The record is from RNAcentral.
GUGAGGAAUAUUGCGCAAUGGAGGCAACUCUGACGCAGCCAUGCCGCGUGCAGGAAGAAGGCGCUACGCGUUGUAAACUGCUUUUAACCGGGAAGAAACCCCAGGACGUGUCCUGGGUUGACGGUACCGGAGGAAUAAGCACCGGCUAACUUCGUGCCAGCAGCCGCGGUAAUACGAAGGGUGCAAGCGUUAUCCGGAUUCAUUGGGUUUAAAGGGUGCGUAGGCGGAGCGUUAAGUCAGUGGUGAAAUCCUGCAGCUUAACUGUAGACUGGCCAUUGAUACUGGCGCUCUUGAGUGCGCUUGAAGUGGGCGGAAUGUGCCGUGUAGCGGUGAAAUGCUUAGAUAUGGCACAGAACACCAAUUGCGAAGGCAGCUCACUAAGGCGAUACUGACGCUGAGGCACGAAAGCGUGGGGAUCGAACAGGAUUAGAAACCCUAGUAGUCC